This 829-nucleotide long non-coding RNA is filed under the name Triticum aestivum (bread wheat). RNAcentral describes it as "long non-coding RNA (TAES_LNC019193)". Lineage: Eukaryota; Viridiplantae; Streptophyta; Magnoliopsida; Poales; Poaceae. The record is from RNAcentral.
UAGUGGUGAUGGAGACAUAUAGACUUGUAAGACCCUUGGGUGGGCGAACGCCCUUGAGCACCUCCACUUGAACUUCUGGUGAGCAAGUCUGUAAGGAACCACCCCAGGACAGUUCUAGUCAUAUUAGUCUUUUCUUAUCAGCUAGCUUUGCAUCGUCUGCUUCCUUCUUGUUUUUGACAUAUUCAAGAUGAUGAAUUUUCAGAUUACCUUGCAGCUUGUUUAGGCUCCCCAACUGUUUUAGCUCAUGCCCAUGUUUUGUCCUUACUUGAGAUACAUCAAGUUCUUGUAGUAAUGUUAAACUACCGAUGUUCGGAACUUGCAUUGCAAAGCUAUAAAUAUGACGCUUACUGCUAGUUUUCUACAUGUAGUGCUAGUUCUGUACAUGCAGUUUAGUGCUUGUCAUACUUAGAUUUUUCCUAUGAAGUGAUGAUUUUUUUUGCUACCACGUAAAGUUGUGAAGGUGGUUGGUCAUGAAAAAUUUUCAUUUGCCAUAAAAACUAUGGGUAUAGGGCAUUGGAUGGCAAUCAUUUAUUUUUUCUUGCCUUUUUUUAAUUAUGUUCAUGUUACAUUUAAUUGCAUCCUAUACUUGGUAAUAAGAAAAGUCAUGAGCUGUAGUUUACCUUUUGGUUUGAAAGCUUGUACAUAUCACAGUUUUGCCUUUCACCGUUGUUCAUUAAAAUCUCCUAUAUUUUUCUAUUGUAUAGGUGAAUGGAACAUUCCAAGCCCAAGGGAAUGCACUCCAUUAACAGAAUCUUCCCAUGAUGGAAGACCAUCCUCAUGCUACUCAUGUGCAUGAGCAUAGUUCUACUCCAACAUUUAGAAAUUCCAG